RNAcentral lists this ribosomal RNA (518 nucleotides) under uncultured bacterium. RNAcentral's name for it is "bacterial SSU rRNA". It matches the Rfam family "Bacterial small subunit ribosomal RNA", at positions 18 to 518 of the family's 1533-position model. The record is from RNAcentral.
CCUGGCUAGAACGAACGCUGGCAGCGUGGAUAGGCAUGCAAGUCGAACGGGAUCGGGAAGGUAGCAAUAUCGGCCCGUGAGAGUGGCGGAAGGGCGAGGAACACGUGAGCAACCUGUCCUUGAGGUGGGAAAACCGUUGGAAACGACGGCUAAUACCGAAUGCGGCGCCGGGAGACAUCUUCCGAGCGCUAAAGGGGGCCGCAAGGCUCCCCCUCUUCGAGGGGCUCGCGCACCAUCAGCUUGUUGGCGGGGUAACGGCCCACCAAGGCUCACGGUUAGCUGGUCUGAGAGGAUGGCCAGCCGCACUGGGACUGAGAUACUGCCCAGACUCCUACGGGAGGCUGCAGUCGAGGAUUAUUCGCAAUGGGGGAAACCCUGACGAUGCGACGCUGCGUGGAGGAUGAAGGCCCUCGGGUCGUAAACUCCUGUCAUGAGGGAAAAGGCGAGGGGACCCAACACGUCCCUUAGUUGAUGGUACCUCAAGAGGAACGGGCGGCUAACUCUGUGCCAGCCGCAGC